Molecule: ribosomal RNA, 359 nt
Filed under: Escherichia coli
Lineage: Bacteria; Pseudomonadati; Pseudomonadota; Gammaproteobacteria; Enterobacterales; Enterobacteriaceae
Description: partial 23S ribosomal RNA
Rfam family: Bacterial large subunit ribosomal RNA
Source: RNAcentral
AUGCACCGAAGCUGCGGCAGCGACACUAUGUGUUGUUGGGUAGGGGAGCGUUCUGUAAGCCUGUGAAGGUGUGCUGUGAGGCAUGCUGGAGGUAUCAGAAGUGCGAAUGCUGACAUAAGUAACGAUAAAGCGGGUGAAAAGCCCGCUCGCCGGAAGACCAAGGGUUCCUGUCCAACGUUAAUCGGGGCAGGGUGAGUCGACCCCUAAGGCGAGGCCGAAAGGCGUAGUCGAUGGGAAACAGGUUAAUAUUCCUGUACUUGGUGUUACUGCGAAGGGGGGACGGAGAAGGCUAUGUUGGCCGGGCGACGGUUGUCCCGGUUUAAGCGUGUAGGCUGGUUUUCCAGGCAAAUCCGGAAAAU